AUUAUUUAUAUUGAUAAAUCACUUCAAUCUUGGACACUAGAUUAGGAAGAAAGAACUAGAAUCGUAUAAGGAGUUUCUUAAAUUUGUUUGUUCCAAAACUUUUCUAGUUAUAGUCGUGAAUUAGAUAAGGCUGGACGCUGGACGGAGUGGCCUUCGCCAGGAGCUUGCCUCUACCACUCCCUCCCGCAAAAGAGAGAAAGGGCUUUGAUUGUUUUUAUUUUUAUCCCAAAUAAAAAUAAUAGAAUAUUUAGAUGCUAUCACUUUCUAUCGUAGAGGUACAGUCGAUAGAAAUUUAUAACCAGCUUUUCAUAACUUUUGUACUUUUAUACAUUUUUUGCAGUAGAUUGUUUAUAAGUUAGAUAGACUUCAAGUGAGUUAAAAUCAUCUUUUUUACAUUAACAUGCUAAUUUUGAACAUGUUUUUAAAAUUUUGUGAAGGAUUUAAGGGUAUUGUUUUUUGACUUCGCCAAGAGAGAGAGUUAUCUUAGCAUAUGUCAUUGUUUAUUAAAAAUUUAAUCAUAUUUUAAAGGAUUUACUUCACUUAUCUUAGCAU
This 552-nucleotide long non-coding RNA is filed under the name Lactuca sativa (garden lettuce). RNAcentral's name for it is "long non-coding RNA (LSAT_LNC005028)". Lineage: Eukaryota; Viridiplantae; Streptophyta; Magnoliopsida; Asterales; Asteraceae. The record is from RNAcentral.